AUUGAACGCUGGCGGCACGCUUAACACAUGCAAGUCGAACGGUAGCAGGUUGCGUGCCUAAAUGGGCUUUUGAGCUGAAGAAGCUUGAGAGCGUAUUUAGGUACGUAAUGCUGACGAGUGGCGGACGGGUGAGUAUAACGUAGGAAUCUGCCUAGUAGAGCGGGAUAACCUAGGGAAACUUAGGGUAAUACCGCAUACGCCCUAUGGGGGAAAGCAGGGGACCGAAAGGCCUUGCGCUAUUAGAUGAGCCUACGCCGGAUUAGCUUGUUGGUGGGGUAAAAGCCUACCAAGGCGAUGAUCCGUAGCUGGUCUGAGAGGACGACCAGCCACACUGGGACUGAGACACGGCCCAGACUCCUACGGGAGGCAGCAGUGGGGAAUAUUGGACAAUGGGCGAAAGCCUGAUCCAGCGAUGCCGCGUGUGUGAAGAAGGCCUGCGGGUUGUAAAGCACUUUCGGUGGGGAGGAGAGGUUUGAGGUGAAUACCCUUGAACUGAGACGUUACCCACAGAAGAAGCACCGGCUAACUCUGUGCCAGCAGCCGCGGUAAUACAGAGGGUGCGAGNGUUAAUCGGAAUGACUGGGCGUAAANGGGUGCGUAGGUGGUUUGAUNAAGUUAGGUGUGAAAGUNCCUGGGCUUAANCCUGGGGAUNGGCGCUUAAGACUGUCAAGCUUGAGUACUGUAGAGGAAGGUGGAAUUUCCGGUGUAGCAGUGAAAUGCGUAGAUAUCGGAAGGAACAUCAGUGGCGAAGGCGACUUUCUGGACAGAUACUGACACUGAGGCACGAAAGCGUGGGUAGCAAACAGGAUUAGAUACCCUGGUAGUCCACGCUGUAAACGAUGAGAACUGGCUGUUGGGUGCCGUGAGGCAUUUAGUAGCGAAGCUAACGCGUUNAAGUUCUNCCGNCCUGGGGAGUACNGGCCGCAAGGYWAAAACUCAAAGGAAUUGACGGGGNGCCCGCACNAGCGGUGGAGCAUGUGGUUUAAUUCGACGCAACGCGAAGAACCUUACCUACUCUUGACAUCCACGGAACCUGACUGAGAGGUUGGGGUGCCUUCGGGAACCGUGAGACAGGUGCUGCAUGGCUGUCGUCAGCUCGUGUCGUGAGAUGUUGGGUUAAGUCCCGUAACGAGCGCAACCCUUAUCCUUAGUUGCCAUUGGGUAAAGCCAGGAACUCUAAGGAGACUGCCGGUGACAAGCCGGAGGAAGGCGGGGAUGACGUCAAGUCCUCAUGGCCCUUACGAGUAGGGCUACACACGUGCUACAAUGGACGGUACAAAGGGAAGCGAAGCCGCGAGGUGGAGCGAAUCUUUUUAAAGCCGUUCGUAGUCCGGAUUGGAGUCUGCAACUCGACUCCAUGAAGUUGGAAUCGCUAGUAAUCGUAGAUCAGAAUGCUACGGUGAAUACGUUCUCGGGCCUUGUACACACCGCCCGUCACACCAUGGGAGUGGGUUGCACCAGAAGUAGGUAGGCUAACCGCAAGGGAGCCGCUUACCACGGUGUGGUUCAUGACUGGGGUG
This 1520-nucleotide ribosomal RNA is filed under the name uncultured bacterium. RNAcentral's name for it is "bacterial SSU rRNA". The record is from RNAcentral.